GACGAACGCUGGCGGCGUGCUUAACACAUGCAAGUCGAACGGUGAAGCGCCUUCCUUUUUGGUGGGUGUGGAUGAGUGGCGAACGGGUGAGUAACACGUGAGUAACCUGCCCCCUCCUUCUGGAUAACCGCAUGAAAGUUUGGCUAAUACGGGAUAUUCUGGGUCUGUGGCUUGAUGGGUUUGGCAAAGCUUUUGUUUCGGUGGGGGUUGGGCUCGCGGCCUAUCAGCUUGUUGGUGGGGUGAUGGCCUACCAAGGCGGUGACGGGUAGCCGGCCUGAGAGGGUGGACGGUCACACUGGGACUGAGACACGGCCCAGACUCCUACGGGAGGCAGCAGUGGGGAAUAUUGCACAAUGGGCGCAAGCCUGAUGCAGCGACGCCGCGUGAGGGAUGGAGGCCUUCGGGUUGUGAACCUCUUUCGCCAGUGAAGCAGGCCUGCCUCGUUUGUGGGUGGGUUGACGGUAGCUGGAUAAGAAGCGCCGGCUAACUACGUG
This 494-nucleotide ribosomal RNA is filed under the name uncultured bacterium. RNAcentral describes it as "partial 16S ribosomal RNA". It matches the Rfam family "Bacterial small subunit ribosomal RNA", at positions 28 to 507 of the family's 1533-position model. The record is from RNAcentral.